UAUAUCACAAAAAUAGCACUCCAAAACUAAAAUGACCAAAAUAGCACUUUUCUAAGUUUAUCCUUUGAAAAUUUUAAUUUUUUUAUUUUUCAAAAUUUGAAAUCUUAUCCCCAAAACCUCAUUUCUCAACUCUAAACCCUAAACCCUAAACCCUAAACUCUAAACCCUAAACUCUAAACCCUAAACCCUAAACCAUAAACCCUAAAUCCUAAACCCCACCC
This 221-nucleotide long non-coding RNA is filed under the name Brassica napus (rape). RNAcentral describes it as "long non-coding RNA (BNAP_LNC009518)". Lineage: Eukaryota; Viridiplantae; Streptophyta; Magnoliopsida; Brassicales; Brassicaceae. The record is from RNAcentral.